Molecule: non-coding RNA, 568 nt
Organism: Camellia sinensis
Lineage: Eukaryota; Viridiplantae; Streptophyta; Magnoliopsida; Ericales; Theaceae
Source: RefSeq, a predicted model, not a curated record
AAAAAAAUGAUUUGAUUUUGUAGGAUCAGUUUGAUCUACAAGGCAAUCCGAGUGAUGUAGCAAGGACUUUAAACACACAGUUUGGUCGGCGAUUGAGUAGCUUCACCUAUAGGUUGCACAAACAAUACAAGCAACUUAAGGAUGCAAGAGGGGAGGAGUACGCGAGAAGCCACCCACCUACAAGUGUUACUCUUAAUCAAUGGACAUCUCUAAUUGACAAGAAGUGGAAUAGUAAAGAAUUCAUGGAUGCAAAUGAAAACAAAACAUAGAUGUGGAUCAAAAUCAAUCCCGGUUAGGGUGCACAGCUCGAUAAUUGCAAAUGGAGAAGUUCCUGAUUUGGCAAAGUUUUACAAGUCCAUCCACUAUAAUUCGAACACACAUGAAUGGAUUUCGUCGGAGAGCCAAGCUAAUUAUGACAACAUGAUAAAGACGCAAGCCGAACACCUCUCGCAGACUGGUGUGAUCCCUUUAAGCCAAGAGGAGUUGUCAGUUAAGGUACUUAAGCCAAGGUCAGGUUAUGUGAAAGGACUCGGCUUGAGGCCUUCUUCUUCUAUGAAGACUACUGUUG